Molecule: ribosomal RNA, 495 nt
Filed under: uncultured bacterium
Lineage: Bacteria
Description: partial 16S ribosomal RNA
Rfam family: Bacterial small subunit ribosomal RNA
Source: RNAcentral
GACGAACGCUGGCGGCGUGCCUAAUACAUGCAAGUAGAACGCUGAAGGAGGAGCUUGCUUCUCUGGAUGAGUUGCGAACGGGUGAGUAACGCGUAGGUAACCUGCCUGGUAGCGGGGGAUAACUAUUGGAAACGAUAGCUAAUACCGCAUAAUAGUAGAUGUUGCAUGACAUUUGCUUAAAAGGUGCAAUUGCAUCACUACCAGAUGGACCUGCGUUGUAUUAGCUAGUUGAUGAGGUAACGGCUCACCAAGGCGACGAUACAUAGCCGACCUGAGAGGGUGAUCGGCCACACUGGGACUGAGACACGGCCCAGACUCCUACGGGAGGCAGCAGUAGGGAAUCUUCGGCAAUGGACGGAAGUCUGACCGAGCAACGCCGCGUGAGUGAAGAAGGUUUUCGGAUCGUAAAGCUCUGUUGUAAGAGAAGAACGAGUGUGAGAGUGGAAAGUUCACACUGUGACGGUAUCUUACCAGAAAGGGACGGCUAACUACGUG